Molecule: long non-coding RNA, 623 nt
Organism: Paramacrobiotus metropolitanus
Lineage: Eukaryota; Metazoa; Tardigrada; Eutardigrada; Parachela; Macrobiotidae
Exons: 2
Source: RefSeq, a predicted model, not a curated record
CAUAAUAAUCAUUUUUAGGCUCGUCCGCAUUUAGUUCACAUCAGAGCGAUUCACUUUAAACAUACUAAACUAGAUUUACCAUCCUGAAAUUAACAACAGGUUUUCAGAAACUCAAUUUUUACGUACUCUACAAGAACGCUGUACUUCUGUGUUACUCGAACGCUAAGGGAGAUGAACGACAACGCAAUCGUUCUUUUACUGUCGAUCUCCAUAUAUUGGACUGGAGGAUUUGCGCAAGAUACCAGACCUUUACCGCCCCUAUGCGCCCAACCAUACACUUUUCCCAUGAAGCCGAAUCCUCCACCGCCUUCAUCCAUUAUGAACGCGGGCUGCUACAUCUACCCGGAUAUGUUCAACAGUCCAAUGGAUACAUGCAGAAACCUAAAGGCUGCUGACAAACCAGACAAAAGUUAUUUUUGGUGGUGCUGUGCGAAGUGGUCGCAAAAUCCUCUUUGUGACGGACCACAAUAUCCGCCUGCGCGACCACUACCAAGUGCAUUCAAAAAAUGAAGGCACUAAUUUGCGCAGACGUGAUAAUAAUUUACAUCUGUGCAUAAGCUGUGUGCAUGUAUCUGUUUUUGAAAGGUCAUGUACAUCAAUGUGAAUAAAAGCGUUCAUGAUAA